GUACACUCCUACGGGAGGCAGCAGUGGGGAAUUUUGGACAAUGGGCGAAAGCCUGAUCCAGCAAUGCCGCGUGAGUGAAGAAGGCCUUCGGGUUGUAAAGCUCUUUUGUCAGGGAAGAAACGGUGAGAGCUAAUAUCUCUUGCUAAUGACGGUACCUGAAGAAUAAGCACCGGCUAACUACGUGCCAGCAGCCGCGGUAAUACGUAGGGUGCAAGCGUUAAUCGGAAUUACUGGGCGUAAAGCGUGCGCAGGCGGUUUUGUAAGUCUGAUGUGAAAUCCCCGGGCUCAACCUGGGAAUUGCAUUGGAGACUGCAAGGCUAGAAUCUGGCAGAGGGGGGUAGAAUUCCACGUGUAGCAGUGAAAUGCGUAGAUAUGUGGAGGAACACCGAUGGCGAAGGCAGCCCCCUGGGUCAAGAUUGACGCUCAUGCACGAAAGCGUGGGGAGCAAACAGGAUUAGAAACCCCAGUAGUCCCAUG
RNAcentral lists this ribosomal RNA (477 nucleotides) under uncultured organism. Its description in RNAcentral is "partial 16S ribosomal RNA". It matches the Rfam family "Bacterial small subunit ribosomal RNA", at positions 331 to 799 of the family's 1533-position model. The record is from RNAcentral.